RNAcentral lists this unclassified non-coding RNA (73 nucleotides) under Candidatus Magnetococcus massalia. RNAcentral describes it as "magneto-ovoid bacterium MO-1 suhB". The record is from RNAcentral. Lineage: Bacteria; Pseudomonadati; Pseudomonadota; Magnetococcia; Magnetococcales; Magnetococcaceae.
CAUCGCUAACCCGGCUAUUUCAUCGCUACAAAAAAGGGCCGCAUCGUAGAUGCGGCCCUUUUGCUUUUUCAGU